RNAcentral lists this ribosomal RNA (263 nucleotides) under uncultured archaeon. Its description in RNAcentral is "partial 16S ribosomal RNA". It matches the Rfam family "Archaeal small subunit ribosomal RNA", at positions 748 to 1009 of the family's 1478-position model. The record is from RNAcentral.
CAGCCGUAAACAAUGUGCGUUAGGUGUGUCGGUAACCACGUGUUACUGAUGCGCCGAAGAGAAAUCGUGAAACGCACCACCUGGGAAGUACGGUCGCAAGGCUGAAACUUAAAGGAAUUGGCGGGGGAGGCACCACAACAGGUGGAGCCUGCGGUUUAAUUUGGAUUCAACGCCGGACAUCUCACCGGAUAAGACAGCUGAAUGAUUGCCGGGCUGAAGACUCUGCAUGACUAGCUGAGAGGAGGUGCAUGGCGUAGACGUCU